RNAcentral lists this long non-coding RNA (3822 nucleotides) under Equus caballus (horse). RNAcentral describes it as "lncRNA (ENSECAG00000051813.1)". Lineage: Eukaryota; Metazoa; Chordata; Mammalia; Perissodactyla; Equidae. The record is from RNAcentral.
GGAAACUCGGAUGGUGCUUCUACACCACAGGUCGGCCGGGCUUUCCCAGGAGCGCUGUGGAGUCACGUCCUAAGCGUUGAUGAAGCACCCGCAGGAGCCAGGCACCGCCUGGAGUUAGAGUUACAAACACCCGGAAGACUCGGUUCCUGAUGGCGAGGUGCUCCUUGUGUUGCUGGGGGAGGAGCGCUGGGAUGAGGAGACAGUCACAAGGCAUUUCUAACCUUAGGUGGAAGUUUGAAGAAAGGUGUGCCUGCUCAGAGGAAGGAGGACCUGACUGGAAGAGAAGAGAGGUCUUCAACCAGCUCCUGGCAGAUUCAGCUGGGUGUCCUGUAUUUCAUCUAACAACCAUAUCCUGGAGAGAACAAUGAAUCUGCCUGCUGCGGUAGAGGCUGAGGAUGGUGAAGAAGACAGCGGAAUGAUUAGGAAGGAUUUUGAAUGCCAAGUGGAGGAGUUUGAACUUCAUCUGAUAUCAGACGCAUGCUGGAGAGCUAGUGGGUUUUUGGCUAGGGAAUGACAGGGUCAGAUUCAUUUUGAGGUAAGACCACUUUGGUGGCCAUGUGGAGAGGAAGGGGCAUGGGGGGACCAGAGGCUCAGUCCAAAGCAGCUGGAGUGGAGCAAGAAAGGCAGGUGUAAUCAUUCUGGGGGCAGGAAUCGGUGAUGGGGCAGCUGGUCAUUAGGACCCACCUGUAAAGGGUUAAACAAAUUACUCAGAACCUUAGUUACACAUUUGAAUCAUGUAGGAGGUUUUUAAAAAAUACCAAGUCCCCACUCCCAUUGUUACUGAUGUAAAUGAUUCGAAAUGGAACCUGGACAAUGUUGGUUUUCUUUUAUUUCCCCAGGUAGUUUAAUGUAUAGUCACAAUCAAAAACUAUUAAUCAACGAUAUUCUCUUUUGUUCCCAGCAAUUUCCAGUUUUCUUUAACCAGUGCACCUGAGCAAGAGCACAUUAUCGUCACAAAGUAGCCUGCCACACUCUCAUUCACAGACACAUCAGCCACUUCUACCUGCUUUGCAGGUGAAAAACUGGCUAUUCCUGCCCAGGAACAUUAAGAGACUGUUUAUUUCAAUCAAUCAUUUUUCUAAAUACAUUAUCUCAUUCUAUAGCUGAAAAGUGGGAGGGGAGCAACAUCAAAGGAUUUACUUCAGCCCCAUCUAAGAAACCAAACACAUGCACCCCUUGUUCACCCUCCUCUGGUUGUCGCCCGUGGACCCAGAAGUCUCAGGCAUCUGACGCUCUGAAUGUCUGCCCAGAUGCCCAUCUCUGGAGAGAACAUGCUGAAAUGUUUGAGUUUGCACAGUUCAUUAAAUACCCUUCAGAAGAGCUCCCUGAUUCUCACAAAGGUCACCUUGGUUUCUUCUAGAGUCUGCAAGUGAGUACCACUGCCUAUUUUCAAUGCCUUGCAUUGUUUAGGGCCAUGGAAAUGGAUGUUCAUUAGAUCUUUCCAAGUAAAGUGGGUGGUCCAUUUCAAGGCAAAAAGCGAGGCCACAAGCCUAUUACUUGGUUUUACAUCAGCAGCCAACUAUCUGCCUUUGACAGAGAGGCGUUAUGGAUAUUUUUAUAUUUGUACUUCAGCUGCUUUUUUUUUUCACUUAGAAAAGAUUUGUCACAAGCUUCUUCAGCAGCAGAAGCUCUUGAAUUUCUAUUAAGUGCAAAUCAGUUCACAAACAACUUAUAGAAAUCAUAUAUACCAAUAUAGUCUAGCGUAUUUCCUGCUUACUAAAGGCGUGCUCUCGCUUUGACCCUUCAACAAGCGUGUCUCUCAGGUCAUGACCUGCCGUAUUUGCUCCUGCCGGAGAAGGAUUCGAACGUGGAGAUUGUAACUAGUCAAGGAAAACCAAGAGGCUGCCUCUUCAGCAUAGCAGGACACGGGUUUAUGAGAUGUUUUGAUGUUUAAUCAAGCCUGACAUCCUAUUUAAAUUGUAUGAGUUGUCUUCUGUCCCCUUCUUUUCUUUGUCAUUAGAAUUCCUUUCUUUGGAGACGUUUUCUGUGUGAUGUCUACACAGGAAGAAGCUGACAGCAGUAGCUUGAAGAACCCAGUGACAGUCGCGGGGAGAGCAUUUGGCAAAAAACUGAUCACAAGAACUCUGUUCUCUGAAUCUGAUUUCAGUGAAAACACAGAGAAUAACUUUAAAUAGUCCGAUCAAGUUGAUACAAAAAUGGUGUUUAGAAACUGUUUGGACUGAUGGGAAAGAUAAAAACUAUGUGUGAAAAGACCAGAACGAGAUGAUAGGAAAAGCACUGCAUUAAGAAUCAACACAUCUAUUCCCUGAUCUUAGUUUUAGGGCUUUCAAAAUUGAGAUGUAAUUGACAUAUAACAUUGUAUCAGUUUCAAGUGUACAACGUAAUGAUUCAUUGUUUGUAUAUAUUGCAAAAUCAUCACACAAUAAGUCUAGUUAAUGACCAUCACCACACGUAGUUACACAUUUCUUGUUGUUGUGAUGAGAACUUUUAAGAUCUGUUCUCUCAGCAACUUCCAAAUAUCCAACAUGGUAUUGUUAAGUAUAGUCACCAUGCUGUGCAUGACAUCCCAAGCACUUAUUUAUCUUGUAACUGGAAGUUUGUACCUUUUGACCCCCCUUCGCCCGUUUUGACCACCCCACACCCCUGCCUAUGGUAACCACCCAUCUGUUCUCUGCAUCUAUGAGUCUGGUUUUUUGUUUGGGUUUUUUUUUUGGUUUGGUUUGGUUAAGUUUCACAUGUGAGAUCAUACCGUAUUUGUCUUUCUCUGUCUGACAUAUUUCACUGAGCAUAAUGCCCUCAAGGCCCAAUGAAAAAUUCUUUUCUUCUCCCUCUGUUUUUCAGGAACCCUUAUAAAGUAAAAGAAGGGAAUUGGAAAUUAUUGUUUCCAAUAUUUCUUCCUGUUUGGGGAUUCUAAGUAUUUAUAGUUGACUGGAACUUGGAAAUGAGCAUAAUAAAAGGAAUAUGGGACUUCUGUUUGCAUUUAAGACAAAUUUUGGCAUCUGACAUUAAAACUAAUUGAUUCAUUUAUCCAACAGAAAGUUAUCGACCACCUACGUGUGUCAAGUCCUCUCUUUGGCAGCAGACCACAGCAGGGAAGGAAUGAGGCUCGGUCCCCGGGGGCGUUUGGAGACUGGUGAGGGACAAGCUUAGGAGCACAGAGGGCCACGAUGCCUGGGACCAGUGCUAUAGGGACAGCUCUAUGGCAUGGGGUUUGGAAUCGAAUGCUAUUUCCAGUGUAAUAAUUUUUGAAGCAGAAUCCUUUUUCAGCCAUGUUAAAAGAAAAAGUAAAACAGCUUCCAAAUCUUACAUCACAAUAUAAACAGUGUAGUGGGUUCCAAAAAAUGCAGGUCUUCUGUUGCUCCGGUGCAGAGAAGGCAUCUGUGCUUAGACAUCUGUUUAGAUAUCCACUUAGCAAGCAUUCUGUCAGCCUGUCGGGACCAGCACCACAGCUGAAACACAUGGAGCCCCAGACAUCAGCUGUAAGGGAACCAAAUGGUGCCCUCCCAAAAAUCGCCUUAGAAUUCAAAGUAUCUAAACAGUUUGGCAGGCACAGCCAAUAAUUUACAAGGAAAAUCUACAGCACGCAGACGUACAGAGCCCCUAAAUUCAGCAAGGGCCUAUUCUGAAUUUCAUCGGUACUGAAUUUGAAAUCUUCUCCGUAGAGCAAGACAAUGCAUAAUAAGUAAGCAAAACGUAACGUGUGUUAGGUGCUAGCCAAAUAAUGGUAGGUUACUUAAUUGUAAGAUGACAUCAAUUCAAAACACUCGACAAUACUGCAAAUCUUUGCUUGCUUGACAUUCUUCUAUUGUUGUGAGAAGUUCAAAAAUGGAGAUGCUUUUUUUUUUUAAAGAGGUUCAGAGU